UUCUUCUUCUUCUUCUUCUUCUUCUUCUCAACCAGGACAAUGAGCAGCGGCGGCAGCAUGGAUCACCAUGACACCGCCGAUCCAUUCUCCUACUACGACCAACCUGCAGGGUCCAUGGAUGGCGACCACAUGUCCUCUCUAAAAGAGCUCACCGAUGGCUUCUCCGAUGAGCGCACCCUCGGCACCGGUGCCUACGGCAAAGUCUACAUGGGUGUACAUGAAUAUGGGAAGAAGAUUGCUGUCAAGAUGUUCCACGACGACACGCCCACACAUGCUGAUGGUGGUCAUGAGCAGUUCCAGAAGGUGUUCAGCAACCUUAAGAGGCUCCGACACCAGAACAUCGUGAAGAUGCUUGGGUACUGCUAUGAAACUCAGCAAAAACACAUGGAGUAUGACGGGAGAAAGAUUUUCAGUGAAAAGACACAGAGAGCGCUCAGUUCCGAGUAUAUGCACAACGGAGACCUUGACAAGUAUCUUCUUUCUGAUAAAUACAAAGGAGAUACUUGGCAGACAUGCUAUGGAAUGAUUAAGGGGAUUUGCAAGGGUUUGAAAUACCUUCACGAGGACUUGGAAUCUCCUAUUUAUCAUUUGGAUCUAAAGCCACCCAAUGUGUUGCUGGAUGAGAAACUUGUGCCGAAGCUUGCGGAUUACGGCUUGUCAAGGCUAUCUGGAGAUGAGCAGACACAAAUCAUGAAAUGUUUCAUGGGAACAAUUAUGUUUUCAUUAAAUCCACCGUGUCGGUACGUGCCACCAGAAUACAUAUUCAGCUUGGGGGCUAUCAUCAUAAAGAUACUUGCAGGACCGAUGAGUUACUCAAAACGUGCCGAGAUUUCCACCCAGCAAUUCGUUGAGCUUGUACAUGGAAAUUGGAGGGAUAAGCUCCAUGCUACAUCAACAUAUGCAUUGGAGGUAUAUUCUGAGCAAGUAAGGAGCUGCAUAGAAAUAGCUUUAAGUUGUGUAGAGGCUGACCAAUGCAAAAGGCCGAGCAUUGGAGAAAUCGUUGAUAAGUUAAUUCAGACGGAGACUGCGAUUCACAAAAUGACCCAAUCACCAGGAACAUCAAUGGAUCAGAUGGGCUCCUGCUUGCUGGAUGCAUCUGAAAAGAGAGGAAGAGAGUUGUUAGGUGUCCAUCCCCUCCAGCUCCGAUUCCCCUUUGAACCGAAUAAGUUGAUCCCCUGCCAACUUAAUCUAACGAACAACUCAGAUGAGUAUGUCGACUUUAGGUGUGUCCCAAAAAACCCCAAGAGUUUCUUGAAUGGACUGUCGCGGCUCCAUGGAAGCAUGCUGCCAAACACCAGUUGCAUAUACGUUGUAACGAUGGAAAAGCACCAGCAACCACCUGCAAACAUGGUCACUCUUGAUGUUAUCCUAGAGAGCUGGGUAGGAUAUAGAUACACGUGUGGGUGGGGCAUGGAUGACUACUUCUCUACGGGGUCACAAGAGGAUCUGAGCGGCUGUCCGGUGCAAAAGGUAACACUGAAGGCUGUUUGUGAGCCAGCAAGCAAGAUGAUGGCAUCUGAGGGAUGGCACUUUGUCGGAAAUACUAUCAAUGGAUGUGCAUCCAACGAAGCCUUGGAGAGAGUGAUGUCGCUGAGACCUGUAAAGGAGCCAGCACCAUGUGCUGGAGACCAUUGGAUGCUUUCUGCUAAAUUCAUCGCGCGGGAGGAAUGGUUCGUGGCCGGCGAUGGAUACGGUUACAUCCACGUGCUCUCAUCUGCGAUGAUGGAUGAGAUCACACAGUUCAAAGCUCACACGGGCUGGGCCGAAUCGCUGGCCAUUCACCCGAGUCGCCCGCUUGUGCUAUCGGCAUCCAACGACAGCUUAAUCAAGCUAUGGAACUGGGAAACUGACUGGUCAUGCAUUCAGAUAUUCGAAGCGCACUCACGCAAUGUGCAACACUUUCGCAAGUGCUUCAAAAGAUGGCACAACAAAGGUACAAAAGAACAAAAAAGGCUCAUUUCUCUAUCUAUUUGGGAUUUGCAGACAAAGAAAUGUAUCCAAGAACUCAAGGGACUCCAACAUAUGUCUGGCGUCAAUGUUGGUGUGAUCGACGGCAUGCAAGGGCAUCCUGUUCUAAUAACAUCU
This 2085-nucleotide ribosomal RNA is filed under the name Triticum aestivum (bread wheat). RNAcentral describes it as "partial small subunit ribosomal RNA". The record is from RNAcentral. Lineage: Eukaryota; Viridiplantae; Streptophyta; Magnoliopsida; Poales; Poaceae.